GCCACAGCGAAACGGCGCCCGGCUGAGGGGCGUCCCGCGCGGCUGAGGGCGCGAGCUGCCGCCUGAGGUACCGCCCGCCCCGCGGAGGGAACUCCCGGCUCGGACACCGCCCGGCUGAGAGCAGCAAAGCCGAACUGCAGACAAACUGAUGUGAGAUGAUAAAUCCUUCAUCCAAAACGAAGAAUCUGCCCAGUGACAAAUGGAGACAGAGAUUUUCACUCGGGCUGGCAGACCAAGAUGAUGAAGGUUUACCCUCACAGUUCUGAUGGUCUGCAGGAAGAACACCAUGCAUUUAAAGCUGGAGGCCGUGAAGCACCAGGCUGAGCACUGAGGGCCCUUUGCUGUGCAGAUGGGAGCUGGAGGCAAGUAAUUCUAAGAAGUGUGGUCAUUGUGUUUAACCAUUUCCCACGCAGAGGUACCUUCCAGAAAUGCUCAAGUGAAUUUUUCAGUUCACAUCGGUUUUGUUUUUGUUUUAAAUACUGAAACAGAUCAUAGCAUAACCUUUACCAGAACACAUGCAAAGCACAACUGCAGUCAGAAAAAUAAAUGGGAAAUGUUUAAUUAAGUCUUUGGCUCAGAUUGUAAGGGCAGAAGUCAGUCACUGUUAUGCUAUUGUAUCUCUUAACAUUCUUUUUUCAUAGGCUGGAUGUGGCACUGGGCAGCCUGGUCUGGUGGUUGGUGACCCUGCACGUAGCAGGAGGUUAAAACGAGAUGGUCAUUGUGGUCCUUUUCAACCCAGGCCAUUCUAUGAUUCUAUGAUCUUUUAUUUUCCUUGUUCUCUUACCUCCAAUUUUCUGGAAUGUACAUUUUAUUACAUGUCUCACAAGAAAACAAAGCUUAAAUUGGAGGAUGAUGCAUGUUCUGCUCACCCACAACAGUAUGGAAGCCUUUCUCACUGUGUGGCUUACUUUCCUGUCAAGUGAAAAUCGCUUUUCUGCCUCUGACCUUUCCAAAGUAUGUGGAGUUUUCUCUUCCCUUUUCCUAUAUCUCCAGAUGCCACACUUGCUGCUCUGGCCAAAACUUCUCUGUUCAGGCAGAAACUCUUGCUUACCAAGGCUGAAAUACUCUGCUCUUACCAUGCAAAGCCUCCGGGUAGAUAAUGCCCAACAUCUGGUCCUCCAAAGAAACUGCAGCAGAGAGAGGAAAAAAAUGCCUGUCACUUCAUUUAUAGAAAGUACAGUGGGUGAAGUAGAAGCUAUUGUUUAUUUUAUUCAUAUUAUUUAUAAAAAUGGCUUCCAGAAACAUCAUGACUCUCUGCAAGAACCACAGGCGUGCUUAGGCUGAGGAUUGGAGCUGAUAAGGACACAGCUAACAUUCUCAUCUGCAGUCACAUUGCAUAGAGCUGAUAGAGACAAUUCAGAAUACCCAGCACCAUGUCCUGAGCUCAUAGGCCACUUCAGUCCACCCAGUAAUUUCUACAAGAGUUACUGAUCUGUGAGUUUGGACUGAUUUGGAUGAAAAGGAGUGAAAACCAUUUGGAAUUCACAGUACUUUAAUGAACCAACAAGUGGGGGACAAUGUACUGAGCUUGUCUAGGCCUGGCAAAGCCAUGGAGGCAUGGAGGAGAAAUGCCCCAACCCAGUUCUGCUUUGCACCAGCUCCAUAAGGACCAGCAUAACCCCCCAGGGAAAGCCUUCGCUGCUUUGUAAGGCUAUCUGUGUGCAGUUCUUCAUUCUAAACUGCUCUGUCUACAUGGUACUGUACCAGAGAGGUAUGCAGCAAUGUCAGCCCCACUGUCAAACUAUAUUUCAUGUUACCAAGUUGGCACUGGGCUUUGACCUGAGCUGACCCGGCCAGUGCUGCAGCUGUUUCAGCAAAGCUGUAACACAAUUCACUAGCAAAAUCAGGGGCAAGAAAUGGAAAAGGUACAGUCUUUAAUGUUGUAGAUUUGAGACACAUUCUUUUCCUAGCAAGUACUUCAAUUCCCCUACACAGAGUGUGCUUAGAGGGUGAGCCCACUCAGCUCUGCAUUACAAAGCAGACCUUGAUUAUAUGGAAUUGUGGAAGGAAAGUGUCUUAGCCAAUAACUCAGCAGCACUGGAAUUAAGCACUUGUGGAGGGAUGGUGUCACACUGGCACAUUUAGCUGUGGAACAGCUCUGGGGGUGCUGGGAGGGGUCUUCUGCACUCAGCUUUUGGGCUGUGCAUGGCUUGUCCUGGCUUAGGAGAGGGCCAACAGGUUGCCCAGCUCCUGAGGACAGUCACAGCCUACUCACAUUGCUGGAGAUGAGAAAUAGACUGUCCUUACUGUCUCUUUUAAUUGGCCCAUGCCCUCUUUAAUAUUAAAUACUUUCCAGAACUGAAGCCUGCCUACAUCCAGCUCUCGGUGAGAUAGGACUGGCUGCAGCUCGGCCAGUUCUCUGUCAAAGUUGGGUUUGUUUUGUCUUGUCUUUAACAACUGCCAAGUAGGGAAAGCAGCAACCUCAUCUUUCCUAUCCCCAAAAGGGAGAAUAACUCCAUUGGUGUAUUUUGUAGAGUAAGAUGCAAUUCUCUGGUGCGCUGUUAGAGAUCUGUGCAUGACAGCAAAGAGUGUCAGCUAGAAAAGGCUUACAUGCAGGUGUGUUAAAGUCUCUGGUGUGUCCUGCAGCCAAAAUAUUUCCUUCUAGACCUUGCUCUUGUUUCUAAAACUACAAAACUGGCAGACUGUGAGAAUACCACAAAGCUGAACUCUGCAGCUCCACCACAGCAGGCAGCAACUUCUACACACUGAGCUUACCUUGGCCAGAGCUUGGUUUGCUCACUCCAUUUGGGUAGACUGCAUACACCGACACGUUGAUGUGGCUUCCUGCUGCUGCGUCCUCUGGAAAGAAGCAAUAGUUACCUUUAAGUUGUAUUUAUAAGCUGCUAUUAAAGCUGUGGAUUUGCUCAAGGGCUUCUGAUAGAGCAGUGAAAGGAGAGGAGGUGUGGGGUUUACAAGUGAAGGAGCAAAGGCUUGGUCAGGCAACUGACUAGGAGGUACUCUGAAGCCAACAAACACCAGAAUGAAGGUGGGAACCAGGAGACAGGUGGGACAGGUCUGAGAUCGCGCUGCUGCUGGACUCGCAGGUUGACUAUUGCAGGGUCCAUGAGCUCUGGCCAUUACAGGGAGAGGAGAUGAGCUGAAGUUACAGCCUCAUUACAUCAAGUGUUUUGCCUUCUCUCUCUGCUUGUACAAAUGCACAUCUGUAUUUCUGUGCUUGCACAAGCUCCAGGGAUUACCCUACUUUCACUCCCUGCCACCUCGCUCAUCUCUUCCUUCUCUUUCUCUGCCCCUUCUCUCCUCGUGGCCUUCACAUGUGUGACCAAAUGCCACUGGGUGCCCUCAGGUCUUCUAUCACUUCACUGUCGAAUCCUCCCAUGCUCCAAAAUCAAGUGGGCAGGGGCUCAAUUGCAAAUGAAAUGUCGAUUUUACAACAUCUUAACAAUCUACACCCAACGGCUAAAGGACUCCUGUGAUAUCUUACCU
Gallus gallus (chicken) is the source of this 3444-nucleotide long non-coding RNA. RefSeq lists it as uncharacterized. The record is from RefSeq and is a predicted model, not a curated record. NCBI's taxonomy places the organism in Eukaryota, Metazoa, Chordata, Aves, Galliformes, Phasianidae. The transcript is spliced from 3 exons.